AUAAAAUAAUUAUGUUUUUGGAAAUUUAUUAUAAAUUUAUUUUACAUAUAAAUUUUAGUAUAUAAUUUUAAUUAUUUAAAUAAUAAUUAAUUAUUUUAGUAGUAAUUAAUAUUAAAAAUUUAAGAAAUUAAGAUUUAGUAAUAUAAAAAUUAAUAACUAAUUUUGUGCCAGCAGUUGCGGUUAAACAAAAGUUAAAUUAAAUUGUUUCAGUAUAUAAUAAAUAAUAAAAUUAUUAAAAUAAAUAUUAAAUUAUUAAGUGAAAUUUUAAUUUAAUUAAAUUUUAUUUUAAAUUUAUGAUUUAAUAAAUUUUGACAUAAACUAGGAUUAGAUACCCUAUUAUUAAAAAUUUAAUUUAUAAUACUAAAAUAGUAAAUAAUAAUUUAUUGAAACUUAAAUAAUAUGGCGGUAUUUUAGUUCAUUUAGAGGAAUCUGUCUAAUAAUUGAUAAUCCACGAAUAAAUUUACUUAAUUUAUAAUUUUGUAUAUCAUUGUUAAAAAAAUAUUUUUUAUGAAAAAUAAUAUUUAAAAAUUAUAAAAAAAAAUUAAAUCAGAUCAAGAUGCAGAGUAUAAUUAAGAAUAUGAUGGAUUACAUUAAAUAUAUUUAUAUGAAUAAUUUUAUUGUAAUAAAAAUUUGAAAGUGGAUUUAAAUGUAAUUUUAAUUAAUUUAUUAAAAUGAUUAAAAAUUAAAAUAUGUACAUAUUGCCCGUCACUUUCAUUUAAAAAUUGAAAUAAGUCGUAACAAAGUAGAGGUACUGGAAAGUGUUUCUAGAAAGA
RNAcentral lists this non-coding RNA (773 nucleotides) under Junonia orithya. The record is from RNAcentral. Lineage: Eukaryota; Metazoa; Arthropoda; Insecta; Lepidoptera; Nymphalidae.